This 732-nucleotide long non-coding RNA is filed under the name Equus caballus (horse). Its description in RNAcentral is "lncRNA (ENSECAG00000034831.3)". Lineage: Eukaryota; Metazoa; Chordata; Mammalia; Perissodactyla; Equidae. The record is from RNAcentral.
GGGAACUGCGGUCAGGUGGAAAGUGAUUCUGUUCUCUGCCGAGGCGGCUUGAAGUGUCAGCCCACUGUGUAACACCAAGAAGCAUCCUGACCCUGCCUGGAUCGACGCGAGGGCAGCUGAGGCUGAGGCAAGAUGCUCUGACAAGUCACGGAAACAUCAAGAUUUAAACUGAGUAUCACAGCAUAAACAACAUAUUUCCAGCAUUCAGACUCUGUGAUUCUUCCUAUCGGUAUAUUUAAGAUUUCAGAUGCAGGUGUUGAAUAAAGUCACUGCUUCAGCUUUUGCGGAAAACUCCAGUGAGGGCGAGAAAGGAGACAUGAUGAUCUGACUUCAUUGCCAAAUCUUUAUUGUCAGAAUAUCGGAAUAUUGGUUCCCAUCGUCUCCCUCUCCUUUCAUGGGAUCCCAUCCAGGAUAACAUAUUACAUUUAUUGUCAUGUUUACUUGGGCUGCUCUCCGCCGUGCGACAGUUUCUCAGACUUUCCUUAUUGUUAGCCUUUUUGACUGCUGACUGCCAAUGCUGAGAAUAGCGCCUGCCAUAUACCAGCUGGACGGGACUUCUGUAAUUUCACCCUCUCAUUUCACAAGUGAGGAUGCAAAAGCUGAAAGUGACUGAGUAGCUUCCCAAAGUCAACACCAGGCUGAUGAUAAGAGGAAAGUUUUGAUCUUAGGUAUUUUGGCUUCCAUUCCAGUGUUCUCUCACUUCAUCGAAUUGUGUGUCUAAUACCUGAAUCA